CCACCCCUGCCCUCAGCCUCCUUCAAAGUGGCCGCUGGGGCUGGGGUCUGUCUUUGCAGAGGUGCCAGGCCACAUGCCCUGCCCACCUCUACCAGCUAUGCCGCCUCUGAAGUUCCUCCAGCGGCACUGAGGAGGGGCCCUGUGGUCGAGGGUGCAGUUAAACGAGGCCCGACCGGGUAGUUGAGCUCAGCUUGGCUGUACUUGUCUUCCUUGGACCUGCUGGGCACCCCCAGGAGGGCCAUGGUUAUAGACACAGGUUCGGAGUCAGCCCCAGCUUGAAUCCUGCUUCUGCCACCAGCCCUGUGACCUGAAGCAAGUGAGUCCCAAUCACCUCAUCUGUGCACUGAGAUGCAGAGUGGCUAUUUCUACUGCAUGUGGCUGUUGUGGGGACUGGGCGAGAGAGAUCCCCAAUAGGUGCUAUGAUUUUUCUCCCUGCUUUGCCCUCCAGCCAUACCCGGAAGCCCCCGAGUUUUGAUCUGGCCCAGGUAGACCGAUCAUUUCCUCCAAGUCCCCCUUCCCUGAGGAGCUGGCGUGCUUCAGUCUCACAGGCUGGAGCGCAAUGGCAUGAUCUCGGCUCACCGCAACCUCC
Molecule: long non-coding RNA, 589 nt
Filed under: Homo sapiens (human)
Lineage: Eukaryota; Metazoa; Chordata; Mammalia; Primates; Hominidae
Description: HSALNT0363888
Source: RNAcentral